AGUGAACGCUGGCGGUAGGCCUAACACAUGCAAGUCGAACGGCAGCACAGUAAGAGCUUGCUCUUACGGGUGGCGAGUGGCGGACGGGUGAGGAAUACAUCGGAAUCUACUUUUUCGUGGGGGAUAACGUAGGGAAACUUACGCUAAUACCGCAUACGACCUACGGGUGAAAGCAGGGGAUCUUCGGACCUUGCGCGAUUGAAUGAGCCGAUGUCGGAUUAGCUAGUUGGCGGGGUAAAGGCCCACCAAGGCGACGAUCCGUAGCUGCUCGGGGAGGAGUAUCAGCCCCACUGGAACCUACGCACGCUCCCAACUCCUACGGGAGGCAGCCGUGGGGAAUAUUGGACAAUGGGCGCAAGCCUGAUCCAGCCAUACCGCGUGGGUGAAGAAGGCCUUCGGGUUGUAAAGCCCUUUUGUUGGGAAAGAAAAGCAGCAGGUUAAUACCCCGCUGUUCUGACGGUACCCAAAGAAUAAGCACCGGCUAACUUCGUG
RNAcentral lists this ribosomal RNA (492 nucleotides) under uncultured bacterium. RNAcentral describes it as "partial 16S ribosomal RNA". It matches the Rfam family "Bacterial small subunit ribosomal RNA", at positions 29 to 507 of the family's 1533-position model. The record is from RNAcentral.